This 7784-nucleotide long non-coding RNA is filed under the name Ananas comosus (pineapple). RNAcentral's name for it is "long non-coding RNA (ACOM_LNC015326)". The record is from RNAcentral. Lineage: Eukaryota; Viridiplantae; Streptophyta; Magnoliopsida; Poales; Bromeliaceae.
GAGGGCACGUUACCUGUUGGUUGUUAGACCAGUUUGAGUCGAUUACUUGACUUUGGCUAGGUUGAGGCCUGAUUGAGCUCGACAGAGAUACGCUGCAUACUCGUUGGGUAGCGCCACGAGUGCCACUCGGAGUCAGGCUUGUGCUUUUGCGGUUGCGCUGGUCGCUCAUGGCAGUUGGACUUGCUCUCCACGGACCAGUUAGAGUGGAUAGAGCCGAUAGUCACACGGCGGCAGGGACGGGUGUAUUUCACAGUCCCGGAUGGGUAUGCUUACCAGUCCCAUUUUGGAUUGGGUCAGACUUGACAUUUCCUACAGUUUGUUAGUGUAGAGCAUGAUAGUGUAGUGGAUGAUAGCGGUAGAGGUGUACUUCUGCUUUCCUACUAUCUUGCCUCCCUUCUGUAGACUUAGUGGGUGACGAUGUUUGUUUUGGCCGUACCCACUGAGGACUACUUAUUUUUACAGUAGCUUCUCACGCUCAGUUGUUACUUAUGUUUUGCAGAGCCACAGGUGCGGCUACUGCAUCUUUCGCCGACCAGGGAUCGAGGCGAAGGGCGUUGUGAGCUAGAGGGCCCUACACCGACAGUCAGAGCUUAGAGGCUUUUCGCCUACUGCAGGUAGUUGUUGUUUUGGAGUUUAUGUACAUAGUUGUUUAACUCGCCAGUGCGAGUAGCCUUUGUAUUUGGAUUCUAGCUAUGUAUAUGAAACUUCAUUAUUUAGUUUUUGAGCGGCUCUAUGCUACUGUUGUAGUUCAUUUUUCUACAGGUUCUUUGACGCUUCGUAUACAAGGAAAAAUUCUUUUGUAUACGGCGGAUCUGUCGGCUGCCGGGGAACGUGAUAUCCGGGUCGUGACAGAUUAAGUUGGUAUCAGAGCUUUGCUAUAGAUCGUUGGGACCUAGGAAACCUAAGUUUGGCAAACUUAGGAAAGCAAGACCGAGAGACGUGAUAUUAAUGCGAAAGUCAAUAUUAUUUGUUCUAACUCCUCCUAGAGUGGGUGUGAGUGAUUGAAGGAGUACCUGUUUUUGGCCUUGAGAAUUAUGUUGGCUGCAGACGACAUAAUUUUGGAGGGAAACAGGGACCGCCUCCAGACUUUCGUUGAUUGGGUCGAGAGUUGUGUGGUGGUAUCUGACCCGACUUGUUUCUUUUAAGCUAUGUAUCGUCGCCGAGGUCUACCGUCGCUGCGGGAUCGUGCGGGACCUUCUAGGAGUCUGAGCAGAUGGAGCAGGUACUCGGCAGGGCAGCAGAAGGACAGACCGGAGGCGAGUGCACCUGUUGUGGAGCCGAGUGUGCGGACCUGAGGCUAGCGCACCCCUGAUCUGAGUGCACAGUUGGUUGCGCUGACUGAAGGUGACGAGGCAGCAGGGGAGUUGUUGCCAGAGGUUGUGUGAGAGAUAGCUCAGUCACCGAGUUCAGCACCGAGAUGUACCAGAGCAGACUAUACCAUUCCCGAUACUCCAGUUGACAGCUCCAGUUGCAGCAGUUCCUCCGUGUAAGUAGCAGUCCUAGUAGCGCCUGUUGCGCCUGCUAGGGCAUUACCGUUGACUGAGGCCGGAGCAGACGGUGGACGGAGAGGUUAGCUCGUUUAAUCGCCGAUUUGAGUCACCGAUCUUCGAUGGCAGAGGCACUGAGACCUGGGUUGUUGAGGGAUGGUGGUCAGUGCAAUGGAGAGGUUAUUCCAGAGGAUCUGUACGUUCCAGAGGGGAGCAGGUACCUAGGGAGUACACUGUUUGUCAGGUGAUGCACGUGACUGGUGUGAGGAGAGCGAGGCGAGAUCAGGACUGGUGGCGGCGCAGUUAGUUGGGAUGAGUUCUGGGAAUGCUGUUAGUGGGAUGUAUUUUCCAACAGCAUGAAACAGAAGAUUUGAGGAGGAUUUGAGAGGAUCAGCAGGGCGAGCGGACAGUUCAGGAGUAUGUUCGGGAGUUUACUAGACUCCUGAACUGUGUUCGUUUGUACCAGAGAUGAGGCACAUAGGGUCUAUUUGUUUGAGCAGGGUUUGAGACCGACUGUUUCAGGUUCGUUAGGGCGCAGAGGUCAGGACUUUGACGCGUCAUUGAGCAGGCACUAUGGGAGGGAGAGAGGAGAGGUGUCGAUGCGGGAGAGGACUCAGGGGCGCGGACAGAGUCAGGAUAGGAAGCGCCUAGCUCCAGACGACGGAGGCCAGUCGAGUAGCAGACGUCCGCCGAGGCCUCCAACGAUCGCGUUCUCAGCGCGUGGUUUCGGGACGUCAGCGAUCCAGAGACUCCGUCAGCGAGGACAGCCAGAGAGGACGCCGCAGUGUGUGAUCUGCGGAGGACCACACUUGGCCAGACAGUGUGAGCAGAGGGAGGCGGUGCUACGGGUUGUGGUCAGCCGGGACACAUGAAGCAGCCUGUCCAGAGCAGAUCUCAGCCACCAUCAUCAGCUUCGGUCCACCAAGCACUCACCAGUCAUUCAGAGCAGCACGAGUUACCGCCAGGAGGAUAGGUCGUCCGAGUUGCCGCCGACAGGUUGAGCGACGACAGAGGCUCGAGUGGCAGAGUCUAUGCAGUCAGAUGGAGGACUCUACAGUAGCCGACGAGUGGUGGCAGGUAUCACUUUGAUAUUUCGGCAUUCGUACUCGUACUCUUUUUGAUACUGGAGCCUCGCAUUCUUUUGUUAGUCGAGUUUGCAUUGUUGCAUCGUUUAGAGUUAGGGGCAGUCACAGGCACGAGAAGGUGCAGAUUCCUGGACCAUGUUUUACAGGUUGCCAGAGUGUUGUUGGUCGUGUCCGGUACAGUUGGACUCGUGGGUCAUGCCCGCAGACCUGUUGUGUUAUGGCAGCUGCAGGACUUUGACGUCGUGCUCGGUAUGGAUUGGCUGGGCGGUACUAUGCUACGAUUCGGCUGUGGAGCGGGACGGUGACGUUCCGCGAGCCAGGCAGGAGGAGUUCAUUUCAGAGGCUGCAGGAGCACGUUGUUUGCCACCUGGAUAUCUUCGGCCGAGGGCGGCAGAUGCUGAGUAGUGGAUGUGUCACUUUUCUAGCGACUGUUUGUGGAGGUAUCUACGUGGCGGACCGGGAUUGAGGACAUUCAGUACUAUGUCGCGAGUUUCCGGAUGUAUUUUCCCCCUGAGUUGACUAUGUUGCGCCGGAGAGGGAGAUUGAGUUUUGUGAUUGAUGUAGUUCCUGGAACUGCCCACCAAUCUCAACGUACCUUAUUAUCGGAUGGGCGCCAGUAGAGCUGAGAGAGCUUAAAGGCAAGCUCAGAAUUUGAUGGAUAAAGGAUUUGUAAACCCAGUGUUCGCUUGGGGCGCCAGUGCUAUUUGUAAAGAAGAGGAUGGUUCCUCAGGUUAUGUGUGGACUUACGGGAGCUGAAUAAAGUGACCAUCAAGAAUAAGUAUCCCUUGCGCGCAUUGAUGAUUUUUUUGAUCAGCCUGCAGGGUUUAUGUCUUCUCGAGAUUGAUCUCCAGGUCAGGUUACCACCAGCUUGAGGGUGAGGCGAGGAUGUCCCCAAGACGGCUUUUCUGACUCGGUACGGGCAUUAUGAGUUCACAGUGAUGCCUUUUGAAUUGACGAAUGCCCUGCGCAUUCAUGGAUUUGAAUGAAAGAGGUUCAAGCUGUUCUUGGAUAGAUUUGUGGUAGUUUUCAUCGAUGAAUUCUUGAUUUACUCCCGGAGUGAUGCUCAGCACAAGGAGACUGAGGAUUGUGCUACAGCUUUUGCGAGAGAAGAAGUUGUUAUGCCAAGUUUGAAGAAGUGCGAGUUCUGGCUUACGGGAGUGUCGCUUUCUUGGGCCACGUGAUUUCUAAGCGGGGCGUAGCAGUGGACCGAAGAAGAUUGAAGCGAUUCGAGAUUGGCGGAGAGACCGGGACUGUGACUACGGUAGAGCUUCCUGGGACUAGGAUAUUACUGUCGGUUUGUGGAAGGUUUUGCGAGCUUUCCACACCCCUCACCGCUUGACGCGGAAGGGGAUUCGUUUUGUCUGGAGCGACGACUGUCAGAGGGCUUUGACGAGUUGAGAUGAGGUGACGUCGGCUCCUAUACUUGCUCUUCCAGGGUGAUGGGGGAUGGGUUUCGUGAUCUACAGUGAGCAUCGCACAGUGGACUUGGAUUGCGUGUGAAUGCAGCAUGUAGGGUGAUUGCUUAUGCUUCACGAGUUAUAAGGAUUAUGGAGAAGAAUUAUCCUACGCAUGAUUUGGAACUUGCGCAGGUGGUUUUUGCUUUGAAGCUCUGGCGGGCAUUACCUACUGCGAGCACUGCGAGGUUUUCAGGCGACCAUCAAAGUCUCAAGUAUCUGUUUUACACAGAAGGAGCUGAAUCUGAGGCCAAGUCCGGUGUGUUAGAAUUACUGAAGGACUAUGACAUUAGUAUUCAGUAUCAUCUGGCAAGGCGAAUGUGGUGGCAGAUGCGUUGAGCAGAAAGUCAGUGCAGAGCCUGAGUUUGAGGAUUACUGGAGCAGAAGACCCAUACUCGAGGAGCUACAGCGGCUGGGACUCGAGAUAGUACCCUGGGUCUACGGCGAGGCUGAUGUUCUAGUACUACUGCCCACUCUGUUGGAUAGGAUCCAGAGAGAAACAGAGGUGAGGAUCCGCACUUUUUGAGGGUUAUAGAGAGCAGCUAGACAGGGGGCAGACUGAGUGAGGGAUUUGCUUUGGACAGUUCGAGAGUACUACGGUACAGGGACGACUGUGUGAGUGUGUGAUCCGGAGGUUCGGAGCGGAUAUUUGAGAGAGGCAUCAUUGUUCCCGAUAUACGGUUUCACCCUGGAGGAACCAAGAUGUAUAAGGAUUUAAGGCACAUUCUGGUGGCCUGAAUGAAGAGGGACUUGCAGAUAUGUGCUCGAGUGAUUUGACUUUGCACAGCGUGAAGGCGCCGAGCAUCAGGUGCACUGCGGGGCAAGCUUCAGAGUUCUGCAGUUCGCCGAGGAAGUGGGAGCACAUCACGAUGGACUUCGUCGUUGGAUUGCUAGAGCGCAGGGUGGCUACGACGCCGAUUCGUGGGUGAAUAGUGGACAGACUGACCAAGUCUGCUCACUUCCUACUGGUUCAGAUUACCUGGUCUAGGGAGAGACUUGCGCAGCUAUACUUGAAUGAGAUCGUUAGGCUGCACGGCGUGCCAGUGUCGAUUGUAUCAGAUAGAGACCCGAGGUUCGUAUCCCAGUUUUGGAGGACUCUACAAACAGCCUUGGGCACUCAGCUGCAUUUCAGCACAGCAUUCCACCCACACACAGAUGGUUAGUCAGAGCGGACCAUACAGACUCUAGAGGACAUGCUGAGGGCAUGCGUCCUGGAUUUUGGAGGAGGGUGGUAUCGACAUGUGAGACUGGUUGAGUUUGCGUACAACAACAGCUAUCAAACGAGCAUUCAGAUGGCUCCGUUUGAGGCGUUGUAUGGACGCAGAUGUCGAUCCCCCAUGUUUUGGAGUGAUGUGGGUGAGCGGAGGAUACUUGGACCGGAGAUUUUACUUGAGGCUGAGGAAAAGGUGAGAGUCGUUUGACGACACCUUUUGACAGCUCAGAGCCGACAGAGGAGCUACGCCGAUACUCGGAGACGAGACUUAGAGUUUCAGGUUGGAGACCAUGUUUUUCUCAAAGUCUCGCCGUCCAGAGGGAUACGCCGAUUUGGAGUACGUGGAAAGCUUAGCCCACGGUUUGUUAGCCCUUUCGAGGUAUUGUAGCGUAUCGGACCGGUUGCUUACAGGAUAGCCCUACCCCCGCGACUUGCUGGUAUCCACGAUGUGUUCCACGUCUCGGCUUUGAGGAGAUACGUUUUCGAUCCCUCUCAUGUGAUUGACUUCACUCCACUUAUGAUUGGCGAGGAUCUGAGAUACGAGGAGCGACCGUUGCGGAUUCUUGCUCGUGAGACGAAAGAAUUGCGCAACCGGGUCAUCCCGUAUGUGAAAGUGCAGUGGAGUAAUCAUGAUGAGCGGGAGGCGACUUGGGAGUCUGAGACGGUGAUGAGGGAAGCCUAUCCCUACUUGUUUGACGCCUGAGUAGAGGUACGUUCAGUUUCGCGGACGAAACUUUUUGUAGAGGGGGAGGAUGUGAGAUCCCUGGUGUUUGACUGUGGAGGCUUGCCGACAGCUCUGGAGAGUGUCGGGACAAGUCCGAGUCACGUUGGCGUCAAAUAGACGUAAAACGGACUCCGUGCGACGCGAGGGCAGCUUAUAGCGAAGAAAUCUGCAAAAUUGCAGAUUUCUCUGCUUGCUGUACCGGUACAACCAGCGUGGCUGUACCGGUACAACCAUCGCGCAGAGGAUUAGCAGCUCUCGGGUUGGCUCUUGUACCGGUACAAGAGCCCGUGUACCGGUACAAGGGGGUAGGUAGAGAGUUAAUUUAGUAAUUCUUUCCCUCGUUUGUAUCACCACUCCACCGACCUCUUUAUACAGACGUAGAGAGCUUGAGAAGGAGUUCUAUUGCUGCUCCUUUUUCCCCUCUCCCUCUCUAGCUUGGUUUGACCGUGGAGGAGUUCGGUUGGAGCUCGGAUUCGACACCGACGUCGCGCCGCGAAGCCGUUCGGGGAUACGGUUGGGAUCGUAGUGCAGCGAGGAAGCUAGGCGAGGGUGCGUUUUUGCCGUUCUCGACGCCGUGUCGCUGACCGAUUAGCCGUUGAGGUGAGCGUUCCGUUGCGUUGCUUCAAGUAUUGACAUUUCGAGCUAGGUGCUGUUUGCUGAUUCCCAUCGUCGACCGUUAGUUUUUCAGCUCGUUCUCGACAUAGGAGCAUCGGAUUGCGACGGGACUUGGUUCGUUGGAUUCGGGACUUCGAGAGGAAUCCACGAAGCCCUUACUUGCUGGAUUCGGUGAAGGUUAGCUUGGUCGAAUCUCCGUUGUACCUCACUGCUGAAAUUUCUGGGCUGAAUGGUGACUUGUGUUGUGUAGGGCGUAGAGUUAGCUCGAUUUUUGGACUCGACGGAUUCCGGGUGAUCCAGCAGGUCGCUCUACACCAGUGGAAGUCUUUCGCUGCUAGGGAUUAGCUUUUUGGAGGUGGGUUACAUCGGUUUUGACUCCUAAGCUCAUAAUCGUCAACAUGUAUAGAUCUCUAUUUUGAUAAUUUAUUCUAGCUCGAAUUCAUGGAUUAUAUGAUAGAAUGCAAAUCUGAAUUUGGAGCAUGUGGUAAUAAAUUAAGUAGAUUAUAUAUGUUGGACUUGGAAACUGAAUUAGGAGAAAACCUGCGAUUUGGACCUGUCACUUGAUUAAACUGCCUGAUUUAGCUCUAGGAGCCGAUAUUAAAUUGUACUGUCGAAGUAUCUUCGAGACGAGUACUUCAGGUAGUUUAGAAUAUAUUUUUGCUCGUGCUGGUGUGCCGAGUGGAUUUUUACAGGGUCGUUCAGGUUGUUCCGGAUUGUUGGGUGCCGUCAGAAUUGAUGGUGGACCCGUAUCGCCUUUUUGGCGUCAAAUUGUGCUGAGGGCACGUUACCUGUUGGUUGUUAGACCAGUUUGAGUCGAUUACUUGACUUUGGCUAGUUGGAGCCUGAUUGAGCUCGACAGAGAUACGCUGCAUACUCGGUUGGGUAGCGCCCACGAGUGCCACUCCGGAGUCAGGCUUGUGCUUUUGCGUUGGUGUCGCUCAUGCCAGUUGGACUUGCUCUCCACGGACCAGUUAGUGUGGAUAGAGCCUGAUAGUCGCAACGGGGCAGGGACGGGUGUAUUCACAGUCCCGGGGACGGGUAUGCUUACAGUCCCGAUUUGGAUUGGGUCAGACUUGACAUUUCCUACAGUUGGUUAGUGUAGAGCAUGAUAGUGUAGUGGAUGAUAGCGGUAGAGUAUGCUUCCUGCUUUCCUUCUAUCCUUGCUCCCUUCUGUAGACUUAGUGGGUGACCGAUGUUGUUUUGGGC